This 537-nucleotide ribosomal RNA is filed under the name uncultured Amoebozoa. RNAcentral's name for it is "bacterial SSU rRNA". It matches the Rfam family "Eukaryotic small subunit ribosomal RNA", at positions 21 to 549 of the family's 1831-position model. The record is from RNAcentral.
UAGUCAUAUGCUUGUCUUAAAGAUUAAGCCAUGCAUGUCUAAGUGUAAACAUUUAUACUGUGAAACUGCGAAUGGCUCAUUAAAUCAGUUUUAAUUUAUUUGAUAAUACCUUACUACUUGGAUAACCGUAGUAAUUCUAGAGCUAAUACAUGCUAAAAAUCCCGACUUUUUGGAAGGGAUGUAUUUAUUAGAUUAAAAGCCAAUACUGGGGGGUAACUUCCAGUUUAAUUGGAUGAUUCAUAGUAACUGCUCGAAUCGCAUGGUCUUGUACCGGCGAUGAUUCAUUCAAAAUUCCGCCCUAUCAACUUUGGAUGGUAGUGUAGUGGACUACCAUGGUGAUGACGGGUAACGGGGAAUUAGGGUUCGGUUCCGGAGAGGGGGCUUGAGAUUUGGCCACCACUUCCAAGGAAGGCAGCAGGCGCGCAAAUUACCCACUGAACAUCGUUCGAGGUAGUGACGAUAAAUAACAAUGGGGGUGGCGACAAGCCACUCCCAAUUGGAAUGAGUACAAUGUAAAAACCUUAACAAGGAACAAUU